This is a non-coding RNA of Biomphalaria pfeifferi, 374 nucleotides long. The record is from the annotation of a GenBank genome assembly. NCBI's taxonomy places the organism in Eukaryota, Metazoa, Mollusca, Gastropoda, Planorbidae.
UCAAUCUGUGGUUAGCACCGUAAUAUCAGGAUGCCAACCAAUAGUCACUGUUUAACAAAUGACGACAUUCUUCAGGCAUAAAAUAUUAUUGAAAUCUCACGUUAUUAAUGUAAAUUUUGGAAAAAAUUGGAAAGUAAAUAAGAGGCCAUUGAGAUUUCUGAAGAUAAUGAUUUUAUUUCAUUUUUCUGUAAAAGAAGCUCUAGCCAAGGUGAAGGAAAUGUUACAAUGCGUCAGUGGAAUGAUAUACUUGAAUAUUUUAUUGGAUUUUUCUUCUUGGCUAGUGCCAAGUAUGGAUCUAAUGCUUCCUAAUGGGGACCUAGUUCUUGUAAAGCUAGGUUGGUUGACCUAGUUCUUGUAAAGCUAGGUUGUUUGAC